This is a long non-coding RNA of Trachemys scripta elegans, 334 nucleotides long. RefSeq lists it as uncharacterized. The transcript has 3 exons. Lineage: Eukaryota; Metazoa; Chordata; Testudines; Emydidae. The record is from RefSeq and is a predicted model, not a curated record.
UCCUGUUUUCAGGUCAGAUUUCAAGAGGAAAGACAGACCUUCAGCUGAUACAUACUGAUAUGCCAGGAGAAAAGCUUCCCAUAACAAGGUUGCAUUCUUUAGUUAAUGGUGAAACAAUCUAUAUUAUUGCGUAUACCUCUUGCGUAGUACUCAUCUUGGGAAUAGUCCUGGUGGCUCUUCUAAAGACCAGAGCCUGCAGAGCAACGUAUCCAUCAAGAAAUCCCUCACCAGUUCAUUCAUCUGAGAUUCUUAUGGUCCAUUAACAGUCAUAGAUAAUCAACAUUGUGGCAAACUCUCUUUAAGGCUAUUCUUGGUAGUCAGACUGUUGUGGAUA